Poecile atricapillus (Black-capped chickadee) is the source of this 510-nucleotide long non-coding RNA. RefSeq lists it as uncharacterized. Lineage: Eukaryota; Metazoa; Chordata; Aves; Passeriformes; Paridae. The transcript is spliced from 3 exons. The record is from RefSeq and is a predicted model, not a curated record.
GUCGCGCAGGACGUCGCUGAGGCGCUCCAGCGCCGCUGCCGCUCCGGCCCCGGGCCGGCCCGCCGCGCCGUAGAGCAGCGUCCGGGCCCGCAGCAGCAGCGGCAGGACGCAGUCCUCCACCUCGCCGCUCAGCGCCAAGAUUUCAGCCUUUGAAUUAAGCAGCAGUUCACUCUCAGUGCUACAGGCGAUAAAAGGGAAUAUUCCAGUCCCCGUGUCCAUCACGGCUGCUCUGCCAAGCAGAGUUAACAGCCAGGUUUGCCCUGAAGACAGGGGGUCCUGAGCAAUAACUUUCCCCUGCCAGCCUUGCCUGGGUGCCUUCUCCUGUCUCUCUGCUCCCUCCUGCAGUGAAGGGGCAGCAGUGGUGGGGGUAGAGGGGCUGCUGAGAGCCCAGCCAGAUGUGGGGGGAUCCGUGCAGCAGCCGAGCUGCUCGUGAGCGCAGUGGCAGCACAGCGGGUUGGCUUUGGAGUCAAUACCUGAAUCUGACUUUUUGUAUCGGGGUAAAAAUAAAGA